RNAcentral lists this ribosomal RNA (324 nucleotides) under uncultured Butyrivibrio sp. Its description in RNAcentral is "partial 16S ribosomal RNA". The record is from RNAcentral. Lineage: Bacteria; Bacillati; Bacillota; Clostridia; Lachnospirales; Lachnospiraceae.
GGAGUUUGGGCCGUGUCUCAGUCCCAAUGUGGCCGGUCGCCCUCUCAGGCCGGCUACGGAUCAUCACCUUGGUAGGCCGUUACCCUGCCAACUAGUUAAUCCGACGCGGGCUCAUCCUGCACCGAUAAAUCUUUCCACCCAAGGCCAUGCGGCCCCGUGUGCAUAUGCGGUAUUAACAGUCGUUUCCAACUGUUAUCCCCCAGUGCAGGGCAGGUUACCCACGUGUUACUCACCCAUCCGCCGCUAAGUUAAAUAAAUCAUCCGAAGAAUCUCUAAAUAACUCCGCUCGACUUGCAUGUGUUAGGCACGCCGCCAGCGUUCAUC